AAGGAACACCACUCGAGACCCCAA
RNAcentral lists this non-coding RNA (24 nucleotides) under Gossypium hirsutum (cotton). The record is from RNAcentral. Lineage: Eukaryota; Viridiplantae; Streptophyta; Magnoliopsida; Malvales; Malvaceae.